Molecule: non-coding RNA, 25 nt
Filed under: Mus musculus (house mouse)
Lineage: Eukaryota; Metazoa; Chordata; Mammalia; Rodentia; Muridae
Source: RNAcentral
UGCUUUAUAGGGAGGCCUCCCAUGG